This 200-nucleotide ribosomal RNA is filed under the name uncultured organism. RNAcentral describes it as "partial small subunit ribosomal RNA". It matches the Rfam family "Bacterial small subunit ribosomal RNA", at positions 1184 to 1382 of the family's 1533-position model. The record is from RNAcentral.
GUCAAGUCAUCAUGGCCCUUACGUCCAGGGCUACACACGUGCUACAAUGGCCGGUACAGAGCGUCGCGAGCCCGCGAGGGUGAGCCAACCGCCAAAAGCCGGUCUAAGUUCGGAUUGCAGUCUGCAACUCGACUGCAUGAAGCUGGAAUCGCUAGUAAUCGCGGAUCAGCUACGCCGCGGUGAAUACGUUCCCGGGCCUU